CUUCCUUUAUUAUAUAUAUGAGAUGGGCAGGCCUUUUUAAGCAAAAGGUGAUCCACUAUCGGUUGUAGUCUUCUUGACAUAUCAAGUCAAGAGGGCGAGACUCCUAGCAAUGGGGGGAAAGAGGAAUGGGUAAGUGGGCUCCUUUCACUUGACUAGUUAGUUAGGAGUAAUCUUUUUUCGCACAUCUCCACUCUUUUUCUCUACUUCAAGUUCAAGUUCCGCUUGCUACUUCUCAUUUUAAUAGGACUAGGUGCUUGCAGCUCCAAUACCUUGUAUAAAACUCAUGUGUGUAAU
This 294-nucleotide long non-coding RNA is filed under the name Nicotiana benthamiana. RNAcentral's name for it is "long non-coding RNA (NBEN_LNC030705)". Lineage: Eukaryota; Viridiplantae; Streptophyta; Magnoliopsida; Solanales; Solanaceae. The record is from RNAcentral.